UACGAAGGGGGCUAGCGUUGUUCGGAAUCACUGGGCGUAAAGGGCGUGUAGGCGGUUUAGCAAGUUGGAAGUGAAAGCCCAGGGCUCAACCCUGGAAUGGCUUUCAAGACUGCUUAACUUGAAUUCGGUAGAGGUCAGUGGAAUUUCCAGUGUAGAGGUGAAAUUCGUAGAUAUUGGAAAGAACACCGGUGGCGAAGGCGACUGACUGGACCGACAUUGACGCUGAGGCGCGAAAGCGUGGGGAU
This 245-nucleotide ribosomal RNA is filed under the name uncultured bacterium. RNAcentral describes it as "partial 16S ribosomal RNA". It matches the Rfam family "Bacterial small subunit ribosomal RNA", at positions 524 to 768 of the family's 1533-position model. The record is from RNAcentral.